This 2132-nucleotide ribosomal RNA is filed under the name human gut metagenome. RNAcentral describes it as "bacterial LSU rRNA". It matches the Rfam family "Bacterial large subunit ribosomal RNA", at positions 435 to 2591 of the family's 2925-position model. The record is from RNAcentral.
UGCCGGAAUCAUCGGGGACCAUCCCGAAAGGCUAAACACUACUCUGUGACCGAUAGCGAACCAGUACCGUGAGGGAAAGGUGAAAAGAACCCCGGGAGGGGAGUGAAAGAGAACCUGAAACCGCAUGCCCACAAGAAGUCAGAGCCCGUCAAAGGGUGAUGGCGUGCCUUUUGUAGAAUGAGCCGGCGAGUCACGAUCAGCAGGCGAGGUUAAGCAGGAGAUGCGGAGCCGCAGCGAAAGCGAGUCUUAACAGGGCGACAUAGUCUGAGGUCGUGGACCCGAAACCGGGUGAUCUAGCCAUGAGCAGGUUGAAGUCGGGGUGAGACCCGAUGGAGGACCGAACCGACCCCCGUUGAAACGUUGGCGGAUGACUUGUGGCUAGGGGUGAAAUUCCAAUCGAACCCGGAGAUAGCUGGUUCUCCCCGAAAUAGCUUUAGGGCUAGCGUCGCAGCGAGAGAGCCGUGAAGGUAGAGCACUGAAUAUGCGAUGGCCGCAUCCCGCGGUACUGAGCAUAAUCAAACUCCGAAUGUCACGGUGUCAUCUGCGGCAGUCAGACGGCGAGUGAUAAGGUCCGUCGUCAAGAGGGAAACAGCCCAGACCAUCAGCUAAGGUCCCAAAGUGCAUGCUAAGUGGAAAAGGAAGUGGAGACGUGCAGACAACUAGGAGGUUGGCUCAGAAGCAGCCAUCCUUCAAAGAGUGCGUAACAGCUCACUAGUCGAAUGACUCUGCGCCGAUAAUUUACCGGGGCUAAGCAUGACACCGAAGCUAUGGACAGGAAUGUGGUAGGGGAGCAUUGCAUGCAGCGGAGAAGCAUGACCGAGAGGGCAUGUGGAGCGCAUGGAAGAGAGAAUGCCGGCGUGAGUAGCGGCACGUGGGUGAGAAUCCCACGCACCGAUGGCCCAAGGUCUCCAGAGGAAGGCUCGUCCUCUCUGGGAUAGUCGGGACCUAAGGCGAGGCCGAGAGGCGUAGCCGAUGGACGACGGGUGGAUAUUCCCGUACCCGAUGUGUGGCGAUGGAGUGACGGAGAAGGCUCAGGCAACCAGCUGCUGGAAUAGCUGGGGCAAGCGAGAUACCUGCGCACCAGGGAAAUCCGGUGCGCGCAAGGGGAAGGCGCGAAGCAUACGGAAAGCUGCGGCAAGUACGGAAAAGCUGAGAGCAGGCUUCCAGGAAAAGCUUCUAGCACAACACGCAUCGGCCCGUACCGAAAAUGGACACACAUGGGCAAGGAGAGAAUCCUGAGGUGAGCGAGAGAACUAUAGCUAAGGAACUCUGCAAAAUGACCCCGUAACUUAGGGAGAAGGAGUGCUCAUAGAGAUAUGAGCCCCAGUGAAACGGCCCAAGCGACUGUUUACCAAAAACACAGCUCUCUGCGAAGGCGCAAGCCGAAGUAUAGGGGGUGACGCCUGCCCGGUGCUGGAAGGUCAAGGGGAGCUGUCAGCGCAAGCGAAGCAGCGAGCCGAAGCCCCAGUAAACGGCGGCCGUAACUAUAACGGUCCUAAGGUAGCGAAAUUCCUUGUCGGGCAAGUUCCGACCCGCACGAAAGGCGUAACGAUUUGGGCGCUGUCUCAGCUGUAGACUCGGUGAAGUCUUAGUACCUGUGAAGAUGCAGGUUGCCCGCGACUAGACGGAAAGACCCCAUGGAGCUUCACUGCAGGUUGACAUUGGGCUUGGAUGCAUGAUGUACAGGAUAGGUGGGAGGCUGUGAGCCGUGCGCGCCAGCGUACGGGGAGCCGCUGUUGGGAUACCACCCUUCAUGCAUCUAGGUCCUAACCGGAGGCAACGGGCCACGGGACAGUGUCAGUCGGGCAGUUUGACUGGGGCGGUCGCCUCCCAAAGAGUAACGGAGGCGCCCAAAGAUACCCUCAGCAUGGAUGGAAACCAUGCAUAGAGUGCAAAGGCAUAAGGGUGUCUGACUGCGAGACAUACAGGUCGAGCAGGGACGAAAGUCGGGCUUAGUGAUCCGGCGGAUCCGAAUGGAAGGGCCGUCGCUCAACGGAUAAAAGCUACCCUGGGGAUAACAGGCUGAUCUCCCCCAAGAGUUCACAUCGACGGGGAGGUUUGGCACCUCGAUGUCGGCUCAUCGCAUCCUGGGGCUGAAGUAGGUCCCAAGGGUUGGGCUGUUCGCCCAUUAA